UCAUUACAAGGUUUUCAAUAGGUCAUUCGGGAUAAAGACGGAAGGGCGGGGGUGUCACGGAACAGCACUUCAAAACAUUACAGACAAGAACUGAAGGGUAAUUCUUUGACAUUCAUUUGGUUCUGCCAAAUGAACUUGUAUAUUACUGAAGUAAUCUCCAACAUGGUUGCUGAGAAUUUAAAACCAAGACAAAGCUCACAUCCUUAAUUGAGGAGUGUUCUAGCAUCCACAGUAUUUCACUUUUGGCCAUGAAGUUUAGAAUAUUGCAUCAUACAGUGCAUCUGCACAUACAAAAGAGCAGAGUCGUGAUAGCACUCAGGAACUGCAGG
Molecule: long non-coding RNA, 329 nt
Organism: Rhincodon typus (whale shark)
Lineage: Eukaryota; Metazoa; Chordata; Chondrichthyes; Orectolobiformes; Rhincodontidae
Exons: 3
Source: RefSeq, a predicted model, not a curated record